CACGGAGUUAGCCGAUGCUUUUUCUUCGGGUACUCUCACUCGUGGCCUCACGAGGCCUUUUUGCUCCCCGACAAAAGAGGUUUACAAUCCAUAGGACCGUCUUCCCUCACGCGACUUGGCUGGUUCAGGCUCUCGCCCAUUGACCAAUAUUCCUCACUGCUGCCUCCCGUAGGAGUCUGGUCCGUGUCUCAGUACCAGUGUGGGGGACCUUCCUCUCAGAACCCCUACGCAUCGUCGCCUCGGUGGGCCGUUACCCCGCCGACUAGCUAAUGCGCCGCAUGCCCAUCCGUAGCCGGAAUCACUUCCUUUAAUCCCUCAGGGAUGCCCCCGAAAGAUAUUACGCGGUAUUAGACGGAAUUUCUUCCGCUUAUCCCCCUGCUACGGGCAGGUCGCAUACGUGUUACUCACCCGUGCGCCGGUCGCCGUCUGGCAAGUGCAAGCACUCGCCUCCGCUGCCCCUGACUUGCAUGUGUUAAGCCUGUCGCUAGCGUUCAUCCUGAGCCAGGAUC
Molecule: ribosomal RNA, 509 nt
Filed under: uncultured Porphyromonadaceae bacterium
Lineage: Bacteria; Pseudomonadati; Bacteroidota; Bacteroidia; Bacteroidales; Porphyromonadaceae
Description: partial 16S ribosomal RNA
Source: RNAcentral